GGCAGUGAUGAAAUUCCACUUUGGUCUGUGUUUUUGAUACCAUGUGAAAUGAGUGGAAGUUCUGACGUC
This is a small nucleolar RNA of Amblyraja radiata (thorny skate), 69 nucleotides long. RefSeq annotates it as small nucleolar RNA SNORD18. The transcript has a single exon. Lineage: Eukaryota; Metazoa; Chordata; Chondrichthyes; Rajiformes; Rajidae. The record is from RefSeq and is a predicted model, not a curated record.